CCUACGGGUGGCAGCAGUAGGGGAUAUUGCACAAUGGGGGAAACCCUGAUGCAGCGACGCCGCGUGUGGGAAGACGGUCCUCGGGAUUGUAAACCACUGUGCCCAGGGACGAAGAUGACGGUACCUGGGGAGGAAGCUCCGGCUAACUACGGGCCAGCAGCCGCGGUAAUACGUAGGGAGGGAGCGUUGUCCGGAAGUACUGGGUGAAAGGGGAGCGUAGGCGGGGAUGAAAGUUGGGUGUAAAAACUACCGGUUAAACUGGUAGGCGCACUGAAAACUGCAGCUCUUGAGUGAAGUAGAGGCAGGCGGAAUUCCUAGUGUAGCGGUGAAAUGCGUAGAUAUUAGGAGGAACACCAGUGGCGAAGGCGGCCUGCUGGGCUUUUACUGACGCUGAGGUUCGAAAGUGUGGGGAGCAAACAGGAUUAGAUACCCCUGUAGUC
This 440-nucleotide ribosomal RNA is filed under the name uncultured bacterium. RNAcentral describes it as "partial 16S ribosomal RNA". It matches the Rfam family "Bacterial small subunit ribosomal RNA", at positions 338 to 795 of the family's 1533-position model. The record is from RNAcentral.